Transfer RNA from Ipomoea nil (Japanese morning glory), 94 nucleotides. It matches the Rfam family "tRNA". From Rfam's summary of the family: Transfer RNA (tRNA) molecules are approximately 80 nucleotides in length. Their secondary structure includes four short double-helical elements and three loops (D, anti-codon, and T loops). Further hydrogen bonds mediate the characteristic L-shaped molecular structure. tRNAs have two regions of fundamental functional importance: the anti-codon, which is responsible for specific mRNA codon recognition, and the 3' end, to which the tRNAs corresponding amino acid is attached (by aminoacyl-tRNA synthetases). tRNAs cope with the degeneracy of the genetic code in two manners: having more than one tRNA (with a specific anti-codon) for a particular amino acid; and 'wobble' base-pairing, i.e. permitting non-standard base-pairing at the 3rd anti-codon position. NCBI's taxonomy places the organism in Eukaryota, Viridiplantae, Streptophyta, Magnoliopsida, Solanales, Convolvulaceae. The record is from Rfam.
CUGACCUUAGCUCAGUUGGUAGACUGGUGGACUGUAGUUGGACUAAUCUAAAUUGGAAAUCCUUAGGUCGCUGGUUUGAUUCCGGCAGGUUGGA